UAGAGGUCGCCGGUUCGAG
This 19-nucleotide non-coding RNA is filed under the name Arabidopsis thaliana (thale cress). The record is from RNAcentral. Lineage: Eukaryota; Viridiplantae; Streptophyta; Magnoliopsida; Brassicales; Brassicaceae.